GACGAACGCUGGCGGCGUGCUUAACACAUGCAAGUCGAGCGGUAAGGCCCUUUCGGGGGUACACGAGCGGCGAACGGGUGAGUAACACGUGGGUGACCUGCCCUCAGCUCUGGGAUAAGCCUGGGAAACCGGGUCUAAUACCGGAUAUGACUCCAUGACGCAUGUUGUGGGGUGGAAAGCCUUGUGCGGCUGAGGAUGGGCCCGCGGCCUAUCAGCUUGUUGGUGGGGUGANGGCCUACCAAGGCGACGACGGGUAGCCGGCCUGAGAGGGCGACCGGCCACACUGGGACUGAGACACGGCCCAGACUCCUACGGGAGGCAGCAGUGGGGAAUCUUGUCGCAAUGGGCGAAAGCCUGACGCAGCGACGCCGCGUGAGGGAUGACGGCCUCGGUU
This 394-nucleotide ribosomal RNA is filed under the name uncultured bacterium. RNAcentral's name for it is "bacterial SSU rRNA". It matches the Rfam family "Bacterial small subunit ribosomal RNA", at positions 28 to 424 of the family's 1533-position model. The record is from RNAcentral.